Molecule: long non-coding RNA, 966 nt
Organism: Myotis lucifugus (little brown bat)
Lineage: Eukaryota; Metazoa; Chordata; Mammalia; Chiroptera; Vespertilionidae
Exons: 3
Source: RefSeq, a predicted model, not a curated record
GAUAGCCCUUUCCCGCACUGUGGCUAAGUGGCCGGGAUAAUGAGUAAUACAUGUCAAAGUUAACACCCACCAAUCAUUUUAGGAACCUGGAAAGCGUCUUAGUUUCAAAUCUGCUGUGGUGAAGCUGGUUUCCAUGCAAUUUUUACAACAUCCUAAGCCAGCUGUCGUUCCCCUCCGCUCGGCAUGCUGUCGACUAAGUGAUACCCAUCUGGGGAUCUCAGGGAUGGCAGCCCCGGAGGUGGCAGGAGGAGCAGCAGGAGUGAUGGCUGUGCCUGCCCCCGCCCCCCCGUUCACCCCCCCAGCCCUGGCUCCACUGCGUCAACCUCUACAGCACACGGUCCUGUGCGUCAGGAAUGUGAGGUCAGUGUCUGGUGACUCUCCUGCGCCUUGAGGACAUGGGACCCUCCAUUUUGGACGUGUGGGAUCCAGGGGUGGCUCCAGCUUGGCCCUGGGGUGUCGAGGGGCCAUCUGUGGAUGUGGGCUGGUCCCGAACCCCACACAGCAGACACUGUGCUGGACUCGCAUCACGUGGUGAGGUGACCCAGAUGGCAAAGACUUCCAGAGGAUUCUGUCCUGUCUUAAGACAUCAGGGGAAAGUACUCCCAAGAAGAGGACGAAGGAUGAGAGCCAGGCUGGUGGGGCUGAGCGCCGGCUGAAGUGACACAGAUGAGCCGACACUAAAAACUUCUCCUGAGUGUGCGCCACGCUCCCUGCACUAAUGCACUGGGAUGAGGUGCUGACCAGGGGGAGGGGCAAGCCUUUAAGAGCCCUGCCCUCACGGCUUCGCCUGGGCUGUGAUGGGGAGGCAGGAGCCAUGGGGCCGGGGAGGAGGCUGCUGGUCCCAGCCCUGGUGCUGCUCUGCUUCCUGCCGCCUGGGCCUGGGAGCCGCGCAGAUGAAGGUACGUGGACUCUCACCAGGAUCUAGCAAUUGCCUCUUGUUUUUGCCUGAAUCCAAGUAGUGACCAA